UACACAAUUAAAAAGCUAAAGCUAUAGUAUAGAUGGUACGAAGAUUUUGUUGUUUGUAAAUAGUUUUCAGCCAGGCAUUGUAUCGAUGGGGUUUUUUGAGCCUUUAAUUUUUGAUGUGGUAAUUUCUCCUUGUCAUCUUAUAUACUAGAGUAUGCUGCACUUUCUUUGACUUGUCCCCUUGGACAUUUGCUACUCGUACAGUUUUUAUUUCCUGCCUCUGGGUAGCAGUUUUUCCCCUUCUAGUUUCUUUCAAUUAGUUGAGAAAUACUUUCCAUUUUUCUUUUUUUUUUUUUAAUUGGCAUAUCAUCAUAAUUUUUAUGAGGAUACAUUUACCAUUUACAUUUGUUGGGAUCUUACAGCUCCAGGGCAAUACCCUCCACGUCAGACCUCUUAACAAAUAAAAAUUCAAAUUUUUAAUAUUUUUUUUUUAAUCUAGUGGUUUUUCUUACUCUUUCUCUGAACUCCGAAGUGUAAAAACUUGAUUUUUUUAAAUCACUAAGCCUUCAAUUCAUUCAUGUCAGCUGAAGGUCUAACAGAUUUUUGUAUUUGGGGUGCCUUUCUGGCUCUUCCUGACUUUCUCCUUCCUUAUGUUUAUCCUCAUUGUGGAAGACGGCCACAACUCCACUAUUUCGUGCAAAUUAGAGGUAGUGCUGGGGUCCCUGGCAAGUUCCCAAUAUGGGUCUCAGAUGACUUAAAUCCUUCCCAUGGGUACAUCGACACAUUAUUGAGCAAUUACAUUCUCUUGUGGCAGUCAUCUGUGGAAUAAGUAAACUCCCUCUAUUAGCCACACAAUGAUAUCAUGCACCAUAAAUGCAUGCUUGGCCUCCAUUGUGUCAACAAUCAGUUAUGUUCUCAAAGGAAGAAAUGCGAAUAUAAUUCUAAAACUACAGUGACUAAUAAACAGGUUAGUUUUAUUACUUGUUUCAGCCCUGAAUGCCAACAUUACAUUUAACUCAAAAGACUCCCAUAAAAGUAGAAAGCAUACAGGUAAGCAUAGAAUUAUUUAUUUGUUGUAAAUAUAUUAUAACUUUUGGGGUUGGGGUAGAAAGGGAGUCCGAAAGAGGAAAGUAACUCACGUUUUGAUCUUUUUUCUCCACUGACUUAAUGAAAGCUACUCAUAAUUUUCUCAUCGAUCACUUUUGCAAAGCUGUGACGUAUGUUACUGAUUGUGGAUCUGCUUGCACCGGCGGAAUAUUUAUACAAGAAGAUGUAAAGUUAUAUUUGAAAAUUAGAUCUCCGAUUACUCCGUAUAGUGCAAUAAAUAUUGCAAUGGGUCUUCCCCUUUCCCCCUUUUAAUGACACUUAUCUAAAUGUUUUGUAAAGCUUUGAAAGCUUCCAAGGGCAGAGUGUAUCCUAAAAGGUGACCUAAAUUUCUGGGUACCCUUUAAUAGCAUACACCAGCUAUCAUUACUCAGAUAGCCUGUGCUUGGAUGCUUUUUUCAGCCUUUCUGUGUGUUUGUGUGUCAUUCAGUGAUGUAGUUGAGGCUGAUCACUCACAGAUAUGGUAUUUUCAUUUGCUGCCCUGUGAAGCAGCAUCCACUGAUGCCUACAUAAUGUAAAGACUGGCUUCCUAUACACAUUCGAGACAGGAUGAGGCUAAGAAGCAAAAAAACAUGGGAAGUAUUUUUGCAAAGGGGAGAAUUGGGAAGAGUGUAAAGCUUCAUACUGUCCUCAGAUAAUGUAAUGGACUGGGACCUGUGAAUAGGAGAAGUCCAACACUAUUUUCUGCCUGGAACGCCCUGACAAUGAAGGUGGGCAGUGCUGGGGUCUCCUACACACAAGGCCAAUCAGGGGUUGUUUCCCAUGGGUCUUAAUGUUCUGGCUGGGGACAGAGGACAGAUGCCAGUGUGCUUUUCAAGGUUUUAAAGUAUUAUUCAGUCUGGAUGAAUGACUACCCUUUGUUUUGUCAUCAGAGAAUAUUUAUGACCGUCGAAGCAAGGCUGAGUUCCUGGAGACAGGAUAACGCGUGGCUUUCUGCUGCCAGACAGAGAGUUCCUUUCGGUGGUCACACCAAUGUUUUUUCAUACUCCCACGGACACCGCAACUUUUUUGGAUAAGGAAGAAGAUGAUGGAACACAGAUGAGGGAAAGAAAUGGCCUCAGAGAACUUGGAUACAUGGGGGAUCCAGUUUUUCAUUUUUGGUCCAUUGUAAGUUAUGGAAUCUUGCUAUUAGGAACAAAUCUGGAUGAACUGCUUUAUGGAACACAUUUUUUUAAGAGCUGUGGAAGCUGGAUUUGAUGGCUUCUAAACCACCACAAUUUCUUUUCACUUGGCAAGAACCUGAGGCACUCCACGUGUGAACGCGAGGUACGAUGAGCCAUUCUGUGGUGGUCAGUGCCAAGAAACAGUGGCUGGCAGUACUUCUCUCCAGAUGUACCAUUUGGCACAUUAAGCAAGUCUUUUCUUAGAAGGGGAACCUAUGGUUUUGCCAUGUAAUGCAAAACACCAAUGGAAUCACUACAUAAGCAAAAUGCCAGUAAUGGUAUAGUGGUCCAGCCACAAAGAUUGGUAUUGGUGCGGUAUGUACCUUCCAGUGAUCAGGAAUCUCCACUGACUGCCAUGACCUUUUGAAGAGGACAAAGAGUAGCCUCACAAUGAUGUUGGGCUGCUCCUUCAGCACCCUCAGACACAUCUGCUCUGGCCCAUGGAGUUCUGUAUAUCCAAGAGUGGUUUGGAUUAGGUAGUCAGCUGAAACUUCCAAAGCACAUAUUUUCUUACCAUGCUGCUGCAACUCAUCUCCAGAGACCUACAAACAAAAAGACCUGCAAAUGAAAGAAAGAAGUACUAUCAGGUGUUAUUAUGGUGCUGCUGACACAGUACAUCUGGAAGGAAAUGUGGAAAAUUUGUAUCCCUCUGUUUCACCUGUUUCUACAGCUUUCUCAACCACUAGUCAACAUUCAGUUGCAGCCCCAAGAAUUGCAGUAAAAUCCAUGACAAAUGUGGAUGGAGGUAAUAUUUUCUACACCUUCGCCAAAUAGUACUAAGAUCUAAGGACUUCCAGGAAAGCAUUGCCAAUGGGAUAGGUCUGCCACAUCUGAUUCAUGCUCCUCUUUUCCCCAAGUAGUAAAUCUUGGUGAAAAGUACAUGUUUUGUCAUGUUCUGGGUGUAUUUUUGAUGUCUGUUAUUUGAUUGAAAAGGCCAAGUCAGUAACUUGAUCAGAGAGUGGGAGGAGGUGAAGCUUGUGAGACUCCUUAUUCUUGUGUGGGUUGAACACACUGGACACUGUUCCAAGGAGCCUUCAUCUCUGUCAUUGAUGUGCUUCCCUAAUACAACAGAAGAUGUCUUUGUUCCUGACAGACAAAGAUAUCAACCAUUCUGGUGUCGUAGGGGUAUCUUUGUAUACGCACAUUUAUAUACGGAUGUGUGUGUGUACGUUUGCCUCUGUGUGCAAAUUUGGUUGAGAUGCUGCCAUUUAUACACAGCACUGCCUGGCAUCCUCUGUAGUACAAUGUCCAGCAACUUUAUCCUAAGCCGUGAUUUCUCUUUUUGGUUUUGUCUUCCUGAAGGUCCAGUUUCACGAGCCAUUUUGCUGUACAGAAAUCUGAUUUCACUGCUGUAUUUUUUCAAAGGUUCCCACUGUUUAUGAUGGUGGAAGAACUUGCAAAUGCAAGCCACACAGGCUCAAGAAAAGCAGAAGUUUCAAGAAGUAUUAAUUCAUGAUCUUGAAGCCAAUCUCGCAGGUUUUUUAUUUUUUUGGAGGUUUCUCUCAUGAAUGUGGAAUGCUUGGGGUUACAACACUGAGCACAGGCCCAAUCAUCAGGUAGUUAAAUUCCUGAAUGCUAUAAUUUUUGUGCCCACAGUCAGCUGUGGGUAUAAAAUUGUGCCCAAAAACUUGGAGGUCAGGGAAUACAAGGCCCAAACUAAGCAGAUUCUAAGUAACCUUUUUCUCUCUUUCCACCCAGAUGCAGUGGAGUAUUCCAUUUGCCGACAAGCCAGCAUGGUCUGACUUUCACAGAGGUAUGUCCAUCUGCGUGGUAUCUUGAGCAGCUUCCCGCUUGCAGCAAGGUGCCACUCAAACUGGCAAAGGUGCCAGGAUUUGUCCCUGUUAGCUCAAUGCUGUGAAUGAAGAGCAGAUAACAUUUUUCUUCCUCAGUUUCCCUCCUGCUCUAUUCUCCUCAGCAAAAUUCCCAUCAAAGCUUUGACCCUGAGCCUUAAAGGUAUUUAUUUACUCAAAUCUAAUACCUUAUGCCAAGGUAGGUGCCUGAUUAAAGAUUGAAAAUCAUUAGCUCGUGCAACCCACUCUCUCAGCAGUUUCAUUUGUCAUAUGUCAGUGCCUCAUAUCUAAUCUUGAAUGGUUUACAGCAAGAUCUACCUCCCAGAGUAAAUUCCCAUCACUGGACUGUACUGCUUCAGACUAAUGGUAGGAACAUUCCUUAAGUCCCUUUUCCACACACAGGCCCACUCCCACCCCAGUAUGAUCUUGCCAAGCAAAAUUUUCUAACUACUGCUACUUUGUUCAAUGAAUUGUGAAAUAUAAUGUUAAAGCUUUCUUAUCCCACAUAUUUUUAUACCUAUAUAAAUCAUACACUGAAAAUGCAAUUUGAGGGUUGUCCGCUGCCAGUUAAGUAGAAAAAGACUAGCAAAGGCUGAAAUAAAACAAAAUGAUACUCAUGAAAAGAAAUUCAUGCUUUCAAGUUCCAUAUCUAGACCCAACUGCAUAACCUCAGAUACAGUUUCUGUACAUAUUAAAAAUCCUAUCUGGAUAAAAUAUGUAGAAACAAUAGUAACAUUUUGUGUGUGUGUGUUUUGGCUUGCCUUUUCUGGUUUGUGUUUUCCUUAGUGGAAAUGCACAUUUUUGGACCAGAUGUUGAAUGUAACAAAAUCCAUAUUACUUUUUGACUGCAGCAUCAAAAUGAAAUAGAAAACUUCAGUUUUCCCCCAUCAAAUAUGCAAGUGAUCAAUUUUUGUUUUGGGUAAUAGCAACAACAAAAGAGGUGGAUCCUGGUCACAAGAUGUCACCACCCCUUUGAUACUCAUGCAGCUGCAGCCAUGAGAGCUG
Long non-coding RNA from Pezoporus flaviventris, 4999 nucleotides. RefSeq lists it as uncharacterized. The record is from RefSeq and is a predicted model, not a curated record. The transcript has 8 exons. NCBI's taxonomy places the organism in Eukaryota, Metazoa, Chordata, Aves, Psittaciformes, Psittacidae.